Molecule: ribosomal RNA, 1361 nt
Filed under: uncultured bacterium
Lineage: Bacteria
Description: bacterial SSU rRNA
Rfam family: Bacterial small subunit ribosomal RNA
Source: RNAcentral
AUUGAACGCUGGCGGCAGGCCUAACACAUGCAAGUCGAGCGGUAGCACAGAGAGCUUGCUCUCGGGUGACGAGCGGCGGACGGGUGAGUAAUGUCUGGGAAACUGCCUGAUGGAGGGGGAUAACUACUGGAAACGGUAGCUAAUACCGCAUAACGUCGCAAGACCAAAGUGGGGGACCUUCGGGCCUCAUGCCAUCAGAUGUGCCCAGAUGGGAUUAGCUAGUAGGUGGGGUAACGGCUCACCUAGGCGACGAUCCCUAGCUGGUCUGAGAGGAUGACCAGCCACACUGGAACUGAGACACGGUCCAGACUCCUACGGGAGGCAGCAGUGGGGAAUAUUGCACAAUGGGCGCAAGCCUGAUGCAGCCAUGCCGCGUGUGUGAAGAAGGCCUUCGGGUUGUAAAGCACUUUCAGCGGGGAGGAAGGCGUUAAGGUUAAUAACCUUGGCGAUUGACGUUACCCGCAGAAGAAGCACCGGCUAACUCCGUGCCAGCAGCCGCGGUAAUACGGAGGGUGCAAGCGUUAAUCGGAAUUACUGGGCGUAAAGCGCACGCAGGCGGUCUGUCAAGUCGGAUGUGAAAUCCCCGGGCUCAACCUGGGAACUGCAUUCGAAACUGGCAGGCUAGAGUCUUGUAGAGGGGGGUAGAAUUCCAGGUGUAGCGGUGAAAUGCGUAGAGAUCUGGAGGAAUACCGGUGGCGAAGGCGGCCCCCUGGACAAAGACUGACGCUCAGGUGCGAAAGCGUGGGGAGCAAACAGGAUUAGAUACCCUGGUAGUCCACGCCGUAAACGAUGUCGAUUUGGAGGUUGUGCCCUUGAGGCGUGGCUUCCGGAGCUAACGCGUUAAAUCGACCGCCUGGGGAGUACGGCCGCAAGGUUAAAACUCAAAUGAAUUGACGGGGGCCCGCACAAGCGGUGGAGCAUGUGGUUUAAUUCGAUGCAACGCGAAGAACCUUACCUGGUCUUGACAUCCACAGAACUUUCCAGAGAUGGAUUGGUGCCUUCGGGAACUGUGAGACAGGUGCUGCAUGGCUGUCGUCAGCUCGUGUUGUGAAAUGUUGGGUUAAGUCCCGCAACGAGCGCAACCCUUAUCCUUUGUUGCCAGCGGUUAGGCCGGGAACUCAAAGGAGACUGCCAGUGAUAAACUGGAGGAAGGCGGGGAUGACGUCAAGUCAUCAUGGCCCUUACGACCAGGGCUACACACGUGCUACAAUGGCAUAUACAAAGAGAAGCGACCUCGCGAGAGCAAGCGGACCUCAUAAAGUAUGUCGUAGUCCGGAUUGGAGUCUGCAACUCGACUCCAUGAAGUCGGAAUCGCUAGUAAUCGUAGAUCAGAAUGCUACGGUGAAUACGUUCCCGGGCCU